Long non-coding RNA from Sinocyclocheilus grahami, 612 nucleotides. RefSeq lists it as uncharacterized. Lineage: Eukaryota; Metazoa; Chordata; Actinopteri; Cypriniformes; Cyprinidae. The record is from RefSeq and is a predicted model, not a curated record. The transcript is spliced from 3 exons.
CCCAGUGCUCCACAAGCCAAAUCCAAACAAUUCCAGCGUUCCACACUUUGAUCUGCACUAUAACAAAAGUCCUCUCUUCACCAGCUGCCUCUUUAUCAAGUAGUAAGUGAGGUGCGCGCAGUGUGCAACCAGCAGCCUUGCCCCGUUCGCGCUCUCUGGCUCGCACACACAUGCACUCUCGUCUCGGGGGCUGGAGGUAUGUGGUCUAAACACAACAAAAAGUCUGAGUCGAAGAUUGAAUAUGCAGGAAGAGGGCCUCCGUUUGCAUAAACACAAACACUCAGCAAAUGAAGGGCUGGCACCGAUUGCACCACUGCCUGCUGGGAAACGCAUACCUAUCCCGUUCUGACCCUGGAAUACUUUAAUCAAACUACAGCUGAGAAGACAUGGACUACACUGGAGAUAAACAACAAAUGUUUGGUUUGAUGAUCCCCAAAUGAACAACAGCAGAGAGAGGCCAAGAAUGGAAUCGGGAUAUGAUCAGAAUUCAAACCUGCAUUUCUCCCACACUGCAGGAAACACGUUGAGAGUGUGCUAAUGCGCCCAGCCCAAAAUCCAGACCAGCUUCACAAUACAGGCCACUACCCCGAGCUCCAGCAUGCCCCCUAUCAG